This 465-nucleotide ribosomal RNA is filed under the name uncultured bacterium. Its description in RNAcentral is "partial 16S ribosomal RNA". It matches the Rfam family "Bacterial small subunit ribosomal RNA", at positions 28 to 507 of the family's 1533-position model. The record is from RNAcentral.
GACGAACGCUGGCGGCGUGCUUAACACAUGCAAGUCGAACGGAAAGGCCCCUUUGGGGGUACUCGAGUGGCGAACGGGUGAGUAACACGUGCGUAACCUGCCCUUGACUUCGGGAUAACUUCAGGAAACUGGGGCUAAUACCGGAUAGGAAUCCUUGCUGCAUGGUGGGGGUUGGAAAGCUUCGGCGGUUUUGGAUGGACUCGCGGCUUAUCAGCUUGUUGGGGGGGUAGUGGCUUACCAAGGCUUUGACGGGUAGCCGGCCUGAGAGGGCGACCGGCCACAUUGGGACUGAGAUACGGCCCAGGCUCCUACGGGAGGCAGCAGUGGGGAAUAUUGAACAAUGGGCGGAAGCCUGAUGCAGCAACGCCGCGUGCGGGAUGACGGCCUUCGGGUUGUAAACCGCUUUCAGCAGGGGCGAAGCUUGUGGUGACGGUACCUGCAGAAGAAGCACCGGCUAACUACGUG